UUUUCCAACAAUGCUUUGUAAUUUUCUCCAAAGGUCUUCCACAUUUUUUGUUAGAUUCAUGUCUACAUAUGCUACAGUUUCUUUUGUGAAUGAAAUAAUUUCAAUUAAAUUUUUAUUGAUGUAGGAAAAUAUUAAUUAUUUUAUAUUGACCUAAUUCAUAGCCAGCAACUUUAUAACUUUCUUUUUUAUAGAAGUAAAUGACUUCUGAUGCUAACUACCUGGAUUUUUGGAUAGAUCGGGAAGCCAUUAUCCUCAGCAAACUAACACAG
RNAcentral lists this long non-coding RNA (269 nucleotides) under Pan troglodytes (chimpanzee). Its description in RNAcentral is "long non-coding RNA NONPTRT004586". Lineage: Eukaryota; Metazoa; Chordata; Mammalia; Primates; Hominidae. The record is from RNAcentral.